This 433-nucleotide ribosomal RNA is filed under the name uncultured bacterium. RNAcentral describes it as "partial 16S ribosomal RNA". It matches the Rfam family "Bacterial small subunit ribosomal RNA", at positions 29 to 507 of the family's 1533-position model. The record is from RNAcentral.
AACGAACGCCGGCGGCAUGCCUAACACAUGCAAGUCGAACGAUGCUUUCGGGCAUAGUGGCGCACGGGUGCGUAACGCGUGGGAAUCUGCCCUGGGGUUCGGGAUAACAGCGGGAAACUGCUGCUAAUACCGGAUGAUAUCGCGAGAUCAAAGAUUUAUCGCCCUGGGAUGAGCCCGCGUCGGAUUAGGUAGUUGGUGGGGUAAGAGCCUACCAAGCCGACGAUCCGUAGCUGGUCUGAGAGGAUGAUCAGCCACACUGGGACUGGGACACGGCCCAGACUCCUACGGGAGGCAGCAGUGGGGAAUAUUGGACAAUGGGCGCAAGCCUGAUCCAGCAAUGCCGCGUGAGUGAUGAAGGCCUUAGGGUUGUAAAGCUCUUUUACCCGGGAUGAUAAUGACAGUACCGGGAGAAUAAGCCCCGGCUAACUCCGUG